Molecule: ribosomal RNA, 300 nt
Filed under: uncultured Lactobacillus sp.
Lineage: Bacteria; Bacillati; Bacillota; Bacilli; Lactobacillales; Lactobacillaceae
Description: bacterial SSU rRNA
Rfam family: Bacterial small subunit ribosomal RNA
Source: RNAcentral
GCAGAAGCUGGGCAGGGAGCGGCGGUAAUGCUGAGGGUGCGAGCGGUAUUGGGUAGUACUGGGCGUAAAGCGCGCGUAGGUGGUUUGUUAAGAUGGAUGUGAAAGCCCCGGGCUCAACCUGGGAACUGCAUCCAAAACUGGCAAGCUAGAGUACGGUAGAGGGUGGUGGAAUUCCAGGUGUAGCGGUGAAAUGCGUAGAGAUCUGGAGGAAUACCGGUGGCGAAGGCGGCCCCCUGGACAAAGACUGACGCUCAUGCACGAAAGCGUGGGGAGCAAACAGGAUUAGAUACCCGGGUAGUC